UCUGUAAAGAGUGCUGAGCA
RNAcentral lists this non-coding RNA (20 nucleotides) under Arabidopsis thaliana (thale cress). Lineage: Eukaryota; Viridiplantae; Streptophyta; Magnoliopsida; Brassicales; Brassicaceae. The record is from RNAcentral.